RNAcentral lists this ribosomal RNA (260 nucleotides) under uncultured bacterium. Its description in RNAcentral is "partial small subunit ribosomal RNA". It matches the Rfam family "Bacterial small subunit ribosomal RNA", at positions 26 to 285 of the family's 1533-position model. The record is from RNAcentral.
AGAAUCAACGCUGGCGGCGUGCCUAACACAUGCAAGUCGAACGAGAAAGUGGAGCAAUCCAUGAGUAAAGUGGCGACCGGGUGAGUAACACGUGACCAAUCUACCCUUGAGUGGGGGAUAACCUCGGGAAACCGGGGCUAAUACCGCAUAAUAUCUCUGGAUCGGAAGAACUGGAGAUCAAAGGAGCAAUUCGCUUAAGGAGGAGGUCGCGGCUGAUUAGCUAGUUGGCGGGUAAUGGCCCACCAAGGCAAAGAUCGGUA